Molecule: long non-coding RNA, 688 nt
Filed under: Homo sapiens (human)
Lineage: Eukaryota; Metazoa; Chordata; Mammalia; Primates; Hominidae
Description: HSALNT0407645
Source: RNAcentral
GAGACUGGCAGCUGAGAGAUACCAAAAGGAAGAAAAAAGAAAACCAUUGCUCUUGAUAUUGCUAAUGCCGGGGGAGGUAAGCUAACGAGAAAGUAGGGAAAAGGAAGGUUUUAGAGUUCACCUCCACUCCUUCCCCUGGCUAACACUCUUUACACUCUUCUGCCUUCCCUUGAGAUAAUUAAAAUAGACUGUACACCGGCCCUAGUCGGUGCCCAUUCCCCCUAACUCUUCACUCAACUACGUGUGUAGUCCGAGGGAGUGAGGACCCCGGGUCCAAGAGCUCAAUCCCGGCCCCGCCCCGUCGGCCCAGGCCCCGGGGCUGGGAGGAGAGGAUGCCUUCGGAGGCGCAGAAUCCGAAAAGAUGUGGUUGGAGCUGGAAGCUGUUAUCCUCAGCAAACUAAUGCAGGAGGAGAAAACCAAAUACUGCAAGUUCUCACUUAUAAGUGGGAACUGAAUGAUGAGAACAUUUGGACAUGGUAAGGGGAGGACAACAUGCAGUGGGGCCUGUUGGGGAGUAUGGCAGGAGGGAAAGCAUCAGGAAAUUCACUAAUAGAUGCUGGGCUUAAUAACUUGAUGAUGGGAUGAUCUGUGCAGCAAACCACCAUGGCACAUGUUUACUAAUGUAACAAACCUGCACAUUCAGCACAUGUACCCCUGAACUUAAAAUAAAGCAAAAUAAAAAUAAAAA